RNAcentral lists this ribosomal RNA (87 nucleotides) under Streptococcus pyogenes. Lineage: Bacteria; Bacillati; Bacillota; Bacilli; Lactobacillales; Streptococcaceae. The record is from RNAcentral.
CCGAUCCCAUCCCGAACUCGGCCGUUAAACGCUUCAGCGCCAAUGGUACUAUGGCUCAAGCCCUGGGAGAGUAGGUCGCUGCCAGGC